RNAcentral lists this ribosomal RNA (253 nucleotides) under uncultured bacterium. Its description in RNAcentral is "partial 16S ribosomal RNA". It matches the Rfam family "Bacterial small subunit ribosomal RNA", at positions 524 to 776 of the family's 1533-position model. The record is from RNAcentral.
UACAGAGGUCCCAAGCGUUGUUCGGAUUCACUGGGCGUAAAGGGUGCGUAGGUGGUGAGGUAAGUCGGAUGUGAAAGCUCGGAGCUCAACUCCGAAAUGGCAUUGGAAACUACCUUGCUCGAGGGUUGGAGGGGGGACUGGAAUACUUGGUGUAGCAGUGAAAUGCGUAGAUAUCAAGUGGAACACCAGUGGCGAAGGCGAGUCCCUGGACAACUCCUGACACUGAGGCACGAAAGCUAGGGGAGCAGACAGG